AGCAUCUGGGGAUAGUAUUAUAUAGGCUCUAACAACCCAAGGUCAGGAAAAUGUGGCAAUGAUAUACGAUUGAACCGCUUAUAUAUAUACAUGUAUUAUGUAAGAAGUAUUACCAGGCGCGCGACUGAUUCUUGAGUGCAAUAAUACCAACAUUUUUUUAUUACAUGCCAUGGUUAUAGUUAGACACUGUUCCCAUGUAGUUCCCUAGUCUCAUGAAUCAGAUCUUAUCAACUAGUGCGUCUAUAAGAUAUUGGCCUGGUAGUAGAUUGUGGUCAAGGGCCUUGAUCAUUUCUACUACAUUGUACAAGUCCUGCAUUAUCUACUACAAAGCAGUCUGCAUAAUUAUACUGAGGUUCCAUUUAGCUUGCGUAGUUCAGUGUUCCUAAGGCCAUUAUACUUAAUUUCGGGUAAUUUUAUUAUCUAGUAGGUAUUUUGCAUGUAUGCAGGUUGGAUUGCAGAUUCCAGGAACAUCUAUAAUUAUUAGGAUUGGAGAUAACACACCCUGACAUUUCUCCGAACUACGAUUCCAACGCUAGUUGGGACUUUGCACAAGGCGAUAGUGACCCCACUCCUACCACAUACUCUGGUGAUGAGCCA
Long non-coding RNA from Halichondria panicea, 597 nucleotides. RefSeq lists it as uncharacterized. The record is from RefSeq and is a predicted model, not a curated record. NCBI's taxonomy places the organism in Eukaryota, Metazoa, Porifera, Demospongiae, Suberitida, Halichondriidae. The transcript has 3 exons.